Paramuricea clavata is the source of this 270-nucleotide non-coding RNA. The record is from the annotation of a GenBank genome assembly. NCBI's taxonomy places the organism in Eukaryota, Metazoa, Cnidaria, Anthozoa, Malacalcyonacea, Plexauridae.
CGUCACAAAGCAACGAUCCGCUGACAAAAAGGUUUGAUUUAAAGUUUUGUGCGUGACAAAAUUGGAAAAUUUGUGUAGUAUUUUGUGCUUGUGUUGAAGAAAAAGCCAUAUUUUAGUUGAAUAUGGUUGGGUAGAAAGGAAAAAACACUAUAUAAAGAUGACUAGGAAAGGAAAGGGUUUCUCUGGGAUACAAAGGGCAAUAAUAAAGCGAAAGAGGAGAGCAAAGCAUCGAGGAGACGGCUGAGACAUCAUGAUGAUGAACCUGCGUGU